This 3355-nucleotide ribosomal RNA is filed under the name Omnitrophica WOR_2 bacterium GWF2_43_52. RNAcentral describes it as "bacterial LSU rRNA". It matches the Rfam family "Bacterial large subunit ribosomal RNA". The record is from RNAcentral. Lineage: Bacteria; Pseudomonadati; Candidatus Omnitrophota. RNAcentral also lists the same sequence under 1 other name.
AAACUUUUGGUCAAGCUACAAAGGGUUUAUGAAGGCUGACUUGGUUAUGCCAGGCGAUGAAGGACGCGGUAAGCGGCGAUACUGCUUGGGGUAGCUGCAAACAAGCGUUAAUCCCAAGAUUUCCGAAUGGGGCAACCCAUCCUGAGUCAUAUCAGGAUACGCAAGCCUAAAAUUUAAAAUAGGGUUUGCGGGCGAUACCUAGAGAAUUGAAACAUCUAAGUAACUAGUGGAAAAGAAAACGAAUGUGAUUUCCCCAGUAGUGGCGAGCGAAAAGGAAAGAGCCUAAACCCUUGACGCGCAAGUGUCAGGGGGGUUGUGGGACCUCACUGUGGUAGGUUAAGGGAUAGCAGAAGUGCAUGGAAAGGCACGCAAUAUAGAGUAAAAGCCUCGUAUGCGAAAUUCCAAGACCGCCUAGAGGUAUCCCAAGUACUACGGGACACGUGAAACCCUGUAGGAAUCCAGGCCGACCAUGGCCUAAGGCUAAAUACUAGGCAUAGACCGAUAGCGCACAAGUACCGUGAGGGAAAGUUGAAAAGAACCCCGGCUAGGGGAGUGAAAUAGAACCUAAAAUCAUAAACCUACAAGCUGUUGAAGGGCUAUGUCCCGUCGUAAGGCGGGAAAUGCCUGACAGCGUACCUUUUGUAUAAUGGCCCGGCGAGUUACUGUAUGGUGCAAGCUUAAGCCUUUCAUGAAAGUGCAUGGCGAUGGCGAAGCGAAAGCGAGUCCUAAAUGGGCGUCCAUAGUACCAUAUAGUAGACCCGAAACUGAGUGAUCUACCCAUGGCCAGAGUGAGCCCCGACGAAAGUCGGGGGGAGGCUCGAACCCAUCGGCGUUGAAAAACCGUGGGAUGAGCUAUGGGUCGGAGCGAAAGACUAAACAAACUCAGAAAUUGCUGGUUCUCCUCGAAAUAGUUUUAGGACUAGCCUUGUGCCACUACAUCGUAGGGGUAGAGUGCUGAAUGGACUAGGGACCUUACCAGGUUGCCAAAUCCAACCAAACUCCGAAUACUACGAUGACUAUCACAGGAGUCAGACGGUGGGGGCUAAGCUUCAUCGUCAAAAGAGAAACAGCUCAGACCUCCAGUUAAGGUCCCUAAAUAUAGGCUAAGUGGUAAAGGAUGUAAAAUCGCAUAGACAAUCAGGAUGUUGGCUCAGAGGCAGCCAUCAUUUAAAGAGUGCGUAACAGCUCACUGGUCGAGCGGUUUUGCGCCGAAGAUGAUCGGGGCUUAAGCCUAUUACCGAAGCUGAGGAUUUAUUUUGGAUUCGUCCAAAAUAAGUGGUAGAGGAGCGUUCUGUCAUUUCGUUGAAGGCGUACCGUAAGGAGCGCUGGAGAAGACAGAAGUGAAUAUGUCGGGAUGAGUAGCGAAAAGAUCUGCGAGAAACAGAUCCACCGAAAGCCUAAGGUUUCCUGGGGAAGGUUAAUCCACCCAGGGUUAGUCGAUCCUAAGCUGAGGCUAAACAGCGUAAGCGAUGGAUAUGCCGUUAAUAUUCGGCAACUGGUUAAAUGGUGCUUGAAGUUAGUGAGUGACGCGGAAGGCAUGGGUCUGCCGAGUGUUGGAUGUCUCGGUUCUUGUCUCGGGGACGGGAUGAGGGGACCCUGAGGUUUCCGAUGGGGAAGUGAUUCAAUGUUCAUGUCGCCAAGAAAAGCUUAUUAACUAAAUCAUUUAGCCACUCGUACCGUAACCCGACACAGGUAGGCCUCCAGAGAAUGGUAAGGUGCUCGAGAGAACCCUCGUUAAGGAACUCGGCAAUCUAGCCUCGUAACUUCGGGAGAAGAGGUACCUCAGAUGGUAAGUUCAUCAGAAUGAAGCUGUCUGAGGUCACAGUAAAGGGGCCCGUGUGACUGUUUAGUAAAAACACAGCACUCUGCGAACUCGAAAGAGGAUGUAUAGGGUGUGAUACCUGCCCGGUGCUGGAAGGUUAAGGGGAGUUGUCAUCCGCCGUAAGGUGGAGAAGCGGCGAACUGAAGCCCCAGUAAACGGCGGCCGUAACUAUAACGGUCCUAAGGUAGCGAAAUUCCUUGUGGGGUAAGUUCCCACGCGCACGAAUGGUUUAACAACAUGGGCGCUGUCUCGACGAGGGGCUCGGCGAAAUUGUAGUGGCGGUGAAGAUGCCGUCUACCCGCAUCAAGACGAAAAGACCCCGGAACUUUUACUGUAACCUGGUAUUGGAUUUUGGUUCAAUCUGCGUAGUAUAGGUGGGAGGCUUUGAAGCCUUGGUUUUGGCUGGGGCUGAGCCGCAAUGUGAAAUACCACCCUUAUUGAAUUAAGGUUCUAACUUUGACCUCUCUAUCGAGGCAGAAGACAGUGCCAGGCGGGCAGUUUGACUGGGGCGGUUCCCCUCUAAAAUGUAACGAGGGGGUUCCAAGGUUGGCUCACUGCGGUCGGCAAUCGCAGGUGGAGUGCAAAAGCAUAAGCCAGCUUAACUGCGCAUCCGACAGGACAAGCAGAUACGAAAGUAGGAUUUAGUGAUCCGGUGGUUGAAUAUGGGAUCGCCAUCGCUCAACGAAUAAUAAGUACUCCGGGGAUAACAGGCUGAUCGCGCUCGAGAGUUCAUAUCGACAGCGCGGUUUGGCACCUCGAUGUCGGCUCAUCCUAUCCUGGGGCUGGAUAAGGUCCCAAGGGUCCGGCUGUUCGCCGGUUAAAAGGGUACGCGAGCUGGGUUUAGAACGUCGUGAGACAGUAAAAUGACCGUUGCUGUCUAAAAAUCUGGCUAAUUGCUGGAAAAUCUGAGUAUCCCGUAUUACUACUUGACGAUUUAGUCUCUAUAUGAGAUCAUAAUCUAAAGGAGUGAAAAUAUAUGGGUGCAGACAAUCAGCAGGAAAGGCCUUAAGCACGAAGAUGCACGAAUAAAAUAACGAAUACACACUAAUUUAUUUGUGUUAAUUCGAUAAAAAUUCGUGAUAAUUUGUGCUCAAGGAAUCUUCAGAGACUAUACGCCAGACUCUCCAAAAGGAGAAGAAGAUAUAGUCCGAACUGUAUAGCGAUAUGCAGAGACGGACAGAAAUGUGCCGUCCACCUAAGAUGUUUUACGGCUUAGGGAGUAACAGAAUUGUCGGUCUCUAUCUGAUGUGGGUGUAAGGAUACUUGAAGAGGAGCUCCCUAUAGUACGAGAGGACCUGGGGAGACGAACCUCUGGUGUUUCAGUUGUCCUGCCAAGGGCAGAAGCUGAGUAGCCAUGUUCGGAAGGGAUAAGCGCUGAAAGCAUCUAAGUGCCAAGCCCCCCUCGAAAAUAGGUAUCCCUGUCCGCAAGGACUGAAGGCUGGUCGUAGACUACGACCUUGAUAGGCGCAGGGUGUAAGAUCCGUAAGGAUUUCAGCUGAUGCGUACUAAUAGCCAAUCGGCUUGACCUUAUAU